AUCCUGGCUCAGAUUGAACGCUGGCGGCAUGCCUUACACAUGCAAGUCGAACGGCAGCACGGACUUCGGUCUGGGUGGCGAGUGGCGAACGGGUGAGUAAUGUAUCGGAACGUACCUUCAGUGGGGAUAACGUAGCGAAAGUUACGCUAAUACCGCAUAUUCUGUGAGCAGGAAAGCAGGGGAUCGCAAGACCUUGCGCUGAUUGAGCGGCCGAUAUCAGAUUAGCUAGUUGGUGAGGUAAAGGCUCACCAAGGCGACGAUCUGUAGCGGGUCUGAGAGGAUGAUCCGCCACACUGGAACUGAGACACGGUCCAGACUCCUACGGGAGGCAGCAGUGGGGAAUUUUGGACAAUGGGGGCGACCCUGAUCCAGCCAUGCCGCGUGAGUGAAGAAGGCCUUCGGGUUGUAAAGCUCUUUCGGCCGGGAAGAAAUCGCAUGGGCUAAUACCCUGUGCGGAUGACGGUACCGGCAUAAGAAGCACCGGCUAACUACGUG
RNAcentral lists this ribosomal RNA (495 nucleotides) under uncultured bacterium. RNAcentral describes it as "bacterial SSU rRNA". It matches the Rfam family "Bacterial small subunit ribosomal RNA", at positions 16 to 507 of the family's 1533-position model. The record is from RNAcentral.